GCAGUCGCCGCGGGAAUACGGAGGGUGCAAGCGUUAAUCGGAAUUACUGGGCGUAAAGCGCACGCAGGCGGUCUGACAAGUCAGAUGUGAAAUCCCCGGGCUUAACCUGGGAACUGCAUUUGAAACUGUCAGGCUGGAGUCUUGUAGAGGGGGGUAGAAUUCCAGGUGUAGCGGUGAAAUGCGUAGAGAUCUGGAGGAAUACCGGUGGCGAAGGCGGCCCCCUGGACAAAGACUGACGCUCAGGUGCGAAAGCGUGGGGAGCAAACAGGAUUAGAUACCCGUGUAGUCCCUGUCUCUUAUAC
Molecule: ribosomal RNA, 302 nt
Filed under: uncultured bacterium
Lineage: Bacteria
Description: partial 16S ribosomal RNA
Rfam family: Bacterial small subunit ribosomal RNA
Source: RNAcentral